RNAcentral lists this long non-coding RNA (25141 nucleotides) under Mytilus galloprovincialis (Mediterranean mussel). Lineage: Eukaryota; Metazoa; Mollusca; Bivalvia; Mytilida; Mytilidae. The record is from RNAcentral.
GUGUGGUACGCCUUCUUUGAAGUACGUAUAUUGUGUACUCAUGCGCACCGACGCAAAUGGUUAUUUCAUCACUAGAUUAUGAAUUUGUUUAUUAAUGUAAUAGGAUAAUUAGUUGCGCUUCUUCGUAAGUACGGUUUUCUUAUUUAUUAUUACAAACUUUUGUUUACAUUUUAAACCGAAUAUGGAAGUAAUACAAAGAAUAGUUUUUAAAAUUAAUUUUAUUUUUUCAAAUAAGUUUACUAACAGAGACACAUGAAUUACUUUACGACUGCCUUACGGUCAAUACACACCUAGAUAAAUGAAAAACCUCGAUAGAGCCCGUUUAUCAAUUGUUGAACUUUUUAUAUUCAGUGUAUACAUAUUUAUCAGACUUGUUCACUUUUCGUUAUUGUGCAUCACAGUAGGAUUUGAGACACACUGUUUUAACAUCUUUCAUUCUGCAUUUAGAUAAAUUGAGAAACAUUCAAUUACGUGUGUAUGUAUACACGUUCUUGUACACAUUAUUUUUAUUUAUUUCCACAUUUUAAAAAAAGUUUGAUUUUUCUUAAAAACUUGUGUUCGACUAACCUGAACACUUUUUUUUUGUGCAAGUGGUCGUAAUUUAUGUAAGAUCCUCUCGUUAUUUAUGUGAGUGUGUAUCAGUGAAAAGGUGCCUCCUUCUUUAGUUUUUAUUGAUCUCUGUACGUUUACCACCUAAGCCCUCCUUGUUUUUCUAAUAGUUGAAAGUAUUUUUUGUAUUUCACUGCAUUGCUUGUCAUUUCAGUCACCUUUGUUAUUCUGUUUAUAACCCAUCGAUUCCGUUCAGCAGGGUUGUCCAUUUAAUGCUUAUUUUUUUCAACCGGAAAUAUGGAUAGUUCAUUUAGUCGAGCUGCUUGACUUUUCUUUAAAUCAUUUAGUUUUAUUAUCAAACUUGGACUGUAUUACAGUGUUACAUUUAUGUCAGGUUUAAAAAUGUGGUAACUAAGAAAACGUUAAAAAAGGAAGGUUACAUUAUAUUUCCAAAAUUAUUUUUAUACUGUUGGAGUUCUUGUGUAUCAAUAAUUUUCGAUGAAGUUAAUAUUUACAUAAUUUGUAUUAAUGAUUCACGAUGUGACAGCUACGAAGAGUAAACAAGUGAUGCGUCAUGUGACAUUUUUUUACAUAUUAAUGUCUUCUGAUUAAUGUUAAUUAAUGAGUGUUUUAUUUCGCAUGGUGGUAGGAUUGUAAGACAUACAGUUACAUGUAACCACUGCGGUUAUUUUUAUGAUAUAUAUAUAGAUACAAAUUAUUACGUAACAGUUGUGGGUUAUAUUCCGCCUAAAAUAUAUGAAAAACCACAAUUCUAUUGUUAUAUUAAUAAAAUUAUAAUACGAUAAAAUUCUUCCGCCACGUACAUAAAUAUAUUUGUUUUCUAAAUUCUCUUCGUUCAAACAAACAUAAAUUAUUUAUAUACUAGACUAUAUAAUUUCUAUAUACCUCGGCCCAAUCUGUUUCUCAUCUCAUUCAUAAUAGAAAUAACUAAAACUUGACACUAGUUUUAGAACUUGUCAGGCACGAUGAACAUUCUCUUUAAAUUUAUAUAAUAACAAAUAAUUGCAAUACAUGUUUAUCAAAUGAUAACAAAUAACAAAGGUUUGUAAUUGUGUAAAUACAGUCCACUUCACAGAAUAAGUGAAUAAGUUGCACUCAACAAUCUACAAAAAACAAACAGAAAAUGUUACAACAAGUAUUUAAUACUGUUUUCGAAUAUAUAUGUGCUUAAGUAUAACUAACAAAAACUACGUGUGAACAUGCGAAUGGUCAACGCUCUUAUCGAUAAUUUCAAAUCGAGUCCACCGUAUUUAAGUCCACUCAGGUUUAUAAACCGGUUACAAUUCUAUUGUUAUUGUUUUCGAAUAUAUAUGUGCUUAAGUAUAACUAACAAAAACUACGUGUGAACAUGCGAAUGGUCAACGUUCUUAUCGAUAAUUUCAAAUCGAGUCCACCGUAUUUAAGUCCACUCAGGUUUAUAAUAUAAAUAUAUUCUUUAUACCUCAGCCCAAUCUGUUUCUUAUCUCAUUCAUAAUAGAAAUAAACAAAACUUGACUGCGCACGAUGACCAUUCUCGAAUGUAAGUUUAACAAAGAAAGAAAGAAAUUGCAGUAAAUAAUGAUAUAAACCUAAAGAUUUUGAAACUAAUAAGCGUUUUUUUUUCAAAUUGUCGCUUAUAUAACUGUCUUUCGCAAUAUCGCAGAUUCCACCUUCCGUGAAUCUUUACUAAUCUGUCCGAGACACCAGAGUUACUAGCGGCUGAGCAACCGCCUGCCCUAAAACUAUGUUGUACACAAAAUUAUUGCGUUUAAACCUAUUGAUAGAGCCCUUUUACAAUCCCUCUAGUCCUAGUAUAAGAUAGUUGUAUAUUCUUUUUUCUCAGCUUACAGUUGUUUGUACUUUUACAAUACGAUAAAGCUCUGAACACAAAAUCAUCUGAGACUGUCUAUUUUAGCUUUAUCUAUAAUAAUCACUUAAAAUUUUAAACAGACAUGUGCUUGAUCAAGUUCAGUCAGGAUUCUACUUCGUCAAAAUUAUCUCCCCAUUACGCCAGUUCAUUUACACAAUCGUAGAAAUGGAAGCCAUUGUAGGGAUGACGCGCUACCAAUUUUGCUCUUGGAAACCGAUAAAUUUAUCCACAUUGUACCAUUACGAUCCUUAUAUGUCAGUUGUAUUUUAAAAGACAAAUGUAUCAACUAGCUAAUGAGCAUCAGUAAUUGAUCUAAUGUCUGCAUUUCUACAACUUAAAAUUCUUAUUGUUAUGGAUCGGUUGUCGAUGGAAUUUCGAAAAUUCAUUUAAACAUUUAUAAAAAUCUUAAAUUAAAUAUUUCGUGAAGGGCAGACUAGAUUUUUUUAGUGAUUACGCAAGCUUACUUAUAAACCCUAUUAUACUUAGCACAAAACCAAUAAUUUUCUAGAAUAUAUGCCAAUUCUUUCAUCACAUCACAACUGAUAAAGCACUGUCGUCAAGUUACUCUGUUCAGUUAAAAAAAAGCUAUUCGAACACACACUACUUCUGUUCUUUGUUCUCAUUAGAUAGUAUUUCACUUGACCCCAGUGAUAUAUAUCAUCUUUAUAUGUGAUUAUUCUUUAUUGUUAUAAAGUCAACCUCGAAGGCUUUGAAUAUAUAAAAAUAGAAUUUUAAAGCGAGACGACUUGUGUUGAAAUCAUUCUUGUUCCUCGAUAGCUUAGACAAAAUAUCAACUCAAACCACGCUUCCUACAUAACACUCAAAAAAUAAGUCUCACUCAGUAUUUCUCUUUUUCGAAACAAUUGUUACCCCUUUUUGAAAUUUUUUUCUUGAGUCACAUAAUGGAAGGGCAGACACGAAAAUUACUGAACUAAUAGAUUGAUAUGUUUUCCGUCCGUGGUAAAAAAAAAUUAAAUCGGAGGUUAUGCAUUUUCUACAUCCAACUUGAAAGAUACCCAUGUCGUCGACUUGAUAUCUAAUUGUUUUGCUUAACUAUGUACUAGAGAAAUUGAAAAAUUAGGCAAACGGUGUUUUUAAAAUAAAACACUUCGUAAUUGAGAAGAAAUUUGUAAUUUUGUUUGUUUCUAUUAACUUUUAAAUUUUUUGUCACUAUAGUAAACAUUACAGUACACAUUUCUCUAACAAAGAACUUCGAUUCUUUUGUUCUAUUUCAACCGGGUUUCCGACUGAGUUUAGCUAUCGAAACGGGGUUUCCUUUAUAACAAUCGGUUUUGCUACUAUCAAUAUAGAUAUCAAUAUGAUCGUCUCAGAAUGUAAUGUUCUUAUCUCUAAUCUGGCAUAGUUCGCUGUACCUUAAAAAAUCCUGAAUAAGCCAGAAAACACAUAGCUUAUAAUCUAAUAUUUUUUAACGAACUAUUUGUACCGCCAAAUUUCUUAAAAAGACUGAGCAUGAUGUUUGCAUUCAUCGGUUCUAUUUUCUGAAUAUGCCUAUUAAGCUUUCUUUUAGAUGCCUUCACAAUACAAUUAACUAUAUCCUAGACACAUGGGUCUUCAAAGCCAGCAAAACUGUGAGCCCACUUUAUAGCGUAACAUGCAGCUUCUAUAGUACUGUAGUGUUUAGCAAUUUGCAUUAGAUAGUGAAGAUAUAAACUGACAUAAAUGUCAUUGGCAGGAAGGACAGACUUGAUUUCUGUAUACUUAUCAGACCACACUACAAAACGCUUAAAACUGUAUGCAUAUUUAACAGUUUUUUCUGGCUUUAGAGUCAAUAACUGAAUUCUUCAUUUUUCUGAACAAAAUCUUAAGUUCUGUGUGCUUUACUUGUGUGUCAUUUUUCCAAAAUCCUGUUGAAAAUAUUUUCUGUAAAAUAAUCAUAAAUUAAUCAAAUAUUUACCUUGAAAUAUGAGUAACUGCUCAGCAUACAACAAAUACAAAAAAAAAUAGGUCCAGUGACCAUAACUAUACCCAGUAUACUUGGUAUCUACAGGCCAAGUGGCCCCAAAACUAUCGUAAAGUGACACACUUUAUACACCAAUCAGCUUCUGUAAGCCAACAUCUCUGAAUAGAAAACCUCCAGUGAGUAAAAUCUGCAUAAAAUAAUAAAAAGUCAUCCCAAAUAUCAAUCAGAAGCUUUCAAACGAACAGAUAAAAUUCUACCCUUGAAUUUUUCGUUCGCAAAAAUAGAAUUUAAAUUAUUUCCAGAAACUAAAAUUCUGUCUACAUCGUUUAAUUCAAGCACGUCUAACACGUAAGAUCUGUACUCUGCAUUUUCAUCAAAAAUUAAUGACCAGUAAGAAGAUGACGGCCAACUCGGAACUACCAGUGUUCCCUCUGCUUUGCAUCUAACCAAGUGGUUUAUGCACUUAUAAACUAAAGACACAAGUGGUACUAAAAUAUUGUUUUCUUGUGCUCGGUGGCACGAGAAAGCGUCCAGGGUUCCAGUACAACGAAAUAAAUUUAACUUCUUUCUUAUUGUCAAUAUAAGCAAACCUAAUCGAAGGUAUGAGGACCCCAGAGAUCGACUAAAAACUGAAAGUACUCUGGAGAAAUACCCCAGUCAUCAAUAUCUAUAAUCCGACUUAAUAAAUCAGCCUGCUCGUUCUCUUUUCUGGGUAACCAGAUAAUGUGUAAUGUAAACAACACCUAUAAAUUUCUAAGGACAACUGUUGUAACUCUUGUACUAUGCUACCUUUAUUUAUGAUACACUGACACAUAACUGAUUCGUGAAUUGCUUUUACUUCUCGCCAAGUAGAACUCCUAACUCGCCCAGUUUCUAACCACAUUUUGUGCAAUUUUUUGUUGAAUUUUGUAUAAAACCAGCAGCGUCUGUAUCGCUAGCGUCUGUAAAAACAUGAAAAUUUGAAAUGUUCUUUACCAGAUCAACCGCCUUUAAUAAAGGCAAAUUAUCUCUCCAGAAAAUUAGCUCAUUGAUACAAUCAGGAUACUUGCCGAUGUUUACAUAUUGAUCCCAAUAGUCUCUUAUAUUAAUGACCGAAAAAAUAUUUCUUGUCAUGAUCUGGGUAACAUUACCUACUGCUGGUGUUAAAGCAAUUAACUUAUCACAGAUUUUGGCCAACUUUCGUACCUUUACCCUGUAACUAGAAUUUAGUAUAACAGCUACCAAAUUCAAAAUUUGAUCUAUUUUUCUUUAGGGAAUUAACAAUUUGCAAGAAAUUAAAUUCCAUGAAAAACCUAACCACUCAACGUGCUGUGACGGUAACCAUACACACUUGUCUUUGUUUGGCACAAAACCAGAAGCAAUCAAGUCUGCUUUGAUUCUUCGGGCGUGCUUUUCACAUAGUUCAUAACUAACUUCGACCCCAAAACCAUCAUCUAAAUAAACAGCUACCUUUAUGCUAGAUUUACGCCAGUGCUUUACCAAUUGUCUCACAGUUUUAGUAAAUAUGGUAUAUAUAUACCCGCUGGAACUUAAACCAAAUGGCAACAUAGUAAAAACAUAAAAUUCUCCUUUCCACGAAAACCCUAAAUACUUUUGAUGUUGUUCAAAAAUGUUUAAGUGAUGAUAUCCCGACUCCAAAUCAAAGACAUAUCCGUAACAAUUCAAAGUAACAUAUUGUGAUAAAGUUUCCCAAUCUCCGAAUUUGAUUUUGUUUAAAAUCACUCGCUUAUUUACGUGUCUAAAAUCUAAAAUCUAUCUACUGUUAACUGAAACAGUUAAAGGAUUAACAACAUGUGGCAUAAUUGAUACACGUUUUACUAAACCGCCCGAUACAAGCUCUUUAAUUCAAUAAAACUAGAAGCGUUAAUACUUUUCCAAAAGUUUACAGAAUUUUUUAGCCUGUCUUUAACAAAAAUAUCUGAACAACCCUUUUCAUAUUUAAAAUAAGAUUCAGACUCGGAUUUCUCUUGAACUGAAUUUUGUGCGUAUUGCUAUGGCGUUAUUUUGCAUUGCUAAAGGUUAGGGGGAGGGUUGAGAUCUCACAAAACAUGUUAACCCCGCCGCAUUUUUGCCCCUUCCAAGUCAGGAGCUCUGGCCUUUGUUAGUCUUGUAUAUUUUAAACUUUUAGUUUCUUAUGUACAAUUUGGAGUUUAGUAUGGCGUUCAUUAUCACUGAACUAGUGUCCAUGGGCAUGCGUCAAACGAUAUGGUAGGGUAAACGAACAGUCCUAGAAAAUGGGAUAUAAUUGAUGGAUAACGUAUGAAUUAACAGUGUCCUUUAGCAGUAAUGUCAAUGGGUAAUAUUUAUUAAUUUGAAACGAUACACAAAGAAAAUCCGACCGUGCAAGACCCUCAUGGGUAGUCAAUGACGUUAAAAAUAAACUCGUCACAAAGAAAAUCCGACCGAGCAAGACCUUCAUGGGUAGUCAAUGUCGUUAAAAAUAAACUCGUCACAAAGAAAAUCCGACCGUGCAAGACCCUCAUGGGUAAUCAAUUUCGUUAAAAAUAAACUCGUCACUAAGGAAAUCCUACCGUGCAAGACCCUCAUGGGUAGUCAAUGUCGUUAAAAAUUAACUCGUCACAAAGAAAUCCUACCGUGCAAGACCCUCAUGGGUUGUCAAUGUCGUUAAAAAUAAACUCGUCACAAAGAAAAUUCGACCGUGCAAGACCCUCAUGGGUAGUCAAUUUCGUUAAAAAUAAACUCGUCACAAAGAAAAUCCGACCGUACAAGACCCUCAUGGGUAGUCAAUUUCGUUAAAAAUAAACUUGUCAAAAAGAAAAUCCGACCAUACAAGACCCUCAUGGGUAGUCAAUUUCGUUAAAAAUAAACUCGUCACAAAGAAAAUCCGACCGUGCAAGACCCUCAUGGGUAGUCAAUUUCGUUAAAAAUAAACUCGUCACAAAGAAAAUCCGUCCGUACAAGACCCUCAUGGGUUGUCAAUUUCGUUAAAAAUAAACUCGUCAAAAAGAAAAUCCGACCAUACAAGACCCUCAUGGGUAGUCAAUUUCGUUAAAAAUAAACUCGUCACAAAGAAAAUUCGACCGUGCAAGACCCUCAUGGGUAGUCAUUGUCGUUAAAAAUAAACUCGUAACAAAGAAAAUCCGACCGUGCAAGACCCUCAUGGGUUGUCAAUUUCGUUAAAAAUAAACUCGUCACAAAGAAAAUCCGACCGUGCAAGACCUUCAUGGGUAGUCAUUGUCGUUAAAAAUAAACUCGUAACAAAGAAAAUCCGACCGUGCAUGACCCUCAUGGGUUGUCAAUUUCGUUAAAAAUAAACUCGUCACAAAAAUAAAUCCGACCGUGCAAGACCUUCAUGGGUAGUCAAUGUCGUUAAAAAUAAACUCGUCACAAAGACAAUCCGACCGUGCAAGACCCUCAUGGGUAGUCAAUGUCGUUAAAAGUAAACUUGUCACAAAGAAAAUCCGACCGUGCAAGACCUUCAUGGGUAGUCAAUAUCGUUAAAGAUAAACUCGUCACAAAGAAAAUACGACGGUGCAAGACCUUCAUGGGUAGUCAAUGUCCACAGGCACUCGUCUCAGACAAAAAUAAUCCAAUAUACCUUUGUUAUAUGAAGGUAUAUAUAAGGAUAAAAAAAUUUCUGAGACGAGUGCCUGUGUCAAUGUCGUUAAGGUUUAUGACCCCUUCUGUAGCCGUGCGAAUUUCGAAAUUUUCAAACUGCAAUAGUAUCAAAACAGCAAAGGUAAUAAAUAGUAGAGAUAGGUCAUUUUGUAUAUAUAUAUACCAAGGGGAAACGUCCUGCAAAGCUUUAUUUUUUAUUGUUUCGUUGCAUUUAAUAGCAAAAUCCAAGAUUUUUGUAGAAAAUCCACAGCCUUUCCCCUUUUACUCUCAUAUUUUACAAUUCGGUGUUUGAUCAAUGGAGGACUAUUGCAUGCAGUGCUAGCAAUGAUUUCCUUAAAGCAAGUUUAUAAAUUUAGAUAUUGGUUAAAACAAAUAUAAAUAUGAGCCAAUUCAAGUACACCUUCUAUGGUGCGCUCGACUUUAGUGACUCGGCACCAGAUUUUUUGGAAAAAUAGCAAAAUGGCUUGCCAUAGUUUUCUCAUUCAGUGGAUGCACGAAUAACAAGCAUUUCUACCAGAACGAAGGUAAAUUAAAUACUAAAACUUUUUUCCAUUUUGUUAGAGUUCACUCUCGGCUUUUUCGGCUACAUGUUGAAUUGCGAGAUAAUAUUAUAAGAUAUAUUGUAAUUCAAUUUUAUGUACUUUUCAUCUAUAUGUUUAUAACACACCAGAUAAUAUUCUAUUAAUUGGACGGUAGUGACGUAAAUGUAACUUAAAUAACAGUAAAAUUGCAUAACGAAAUGACAUCCUACAUUCUUAUGUAUGUAUAAGCUGUAUCUAUCGCAACCAAGUACAUAUAACUGAUAUGAGGGUCUAAUUGGGGUUUACAGAAAGGUGAAGACAGUGACUAAUAUUACACAAGUUCUAUAGUAAAUUUAGGAGGAAAUUGUGAGAGAAAAAUAUUAUAAAGAAUAAUGGGCAAAGUAAUGAAUAUGGAAUAUAGAUCGUAAGAAUUUAUAAGGGUUCAAAUAUGAAGACCCCUUAUCAAGUUGCUCUAUAUGAAUAUUACAGCUGUAGAAAUUUAUACUUUCAUUGAGAUAAAAAAUAUAUUAAUCUUCAUAGCGCCAAUACAUGAACUUUGGGUUUUUACCACAGUCAUUAUCACUAAAUGGAGUAUUCAGUAUAAAUCUAACAAGUGUAAUUGUUUUGAAUUAUACUCAUAUUAAUAGAAAAGUUUUCUAACGCAAUAUAUAUAGAAAGAAAGUAAGCCAUUGUCAGUGUCGGAUCCCGAAGUUUUCAUAAGUGCAUGGGGACCCACUAACUGCCUCAGAGGGACCGGAUUCAGUCAUGCUUCAGUGAUUCUCUAUAUAAUCUACCACAUUUGUCGCACAAAAAGGGGACGGGUCCCCUGUCCACCUCUUAAAUUCGCCUCUCAUUGUAAUCCUUCACUAAAAUGGAGAAAUAAACGUUUCUAGGGAAAAUGACAGAUAUAUAGUUUAGAAUUAUCGAAACAUCUAUUAUAGACAAAUAUAUUUUAAAAGUAGGUCUGACCUAACCUUAGUAUACCUAUUACAAAAAAAACAAAAAAACAAAAAAACAGCCGUAGUCUUGACAAAAAUCAUACAGACACGUGACAUGUGUGAUACACACUUUUUCAGAGGAUCUCAAGAAAGUGUCCUCUUUUUUUCGGCAUAAGAAUAGCAACUCCAAAGUAAUGACCUCAUAUGGAACUUCCUUUUUCAUUUGAUUCAGUUGAAAACUAAGGCUUUUCUACCUCAAAAUCAUACAGACACGUGACAUAUGUGAUACACACUUUUUCAGAGGAUCUCAAGAAAGUGUUCUCUUUUUUUCGGCAUAAGAAUAGCAACUCCAAAUUAUGACCUCAUAUGGAACUUUCUUUUUCAUUUGAUUCAGUUGAAAACUAAGGCUUUUCUACCUCAGGAAUAGAUUACCUUAGCUGUAUUUGGCAAAACUUUUAGAAGAUUUGUAUCCUCAAUGCUCUUCAACUUCGUACUUUAUUUGGCCUUUUAUAACAUUUUUAAUUCGAGCGUCACUGAUGAGUCUUUUGUAGACGAAACGCGCGUGUAGCGUAAAUAUCAAAUUUUAUUCCUGGUAUCUAUGAUGAGUUUAUUUGACUGAAUGAUUGGUCAGAACUGUUUAAAUAUGCUUCUCACAGAUUUACAAUGUUUCAAUUUACUUGAACAAGAAAUUUGAAACAUGACAUUAAUUGAGUUGAUAGAUUGGUUAUUAGUUGACACUGGUCAAUGAAUCCACUUUGACAACAAAUUGCAAAAUCAAAUGUUAUACAAGUAUGUUCGGUAUUUUUUCAACGUAAUUUAUUUGUUUUAAUCUUCAAUGAACCUAUACAAUCUACCGUAGUGACGCAGUUUUCGCCCUUUUUUAAUGUAUAUAGCAGCUAGCUGAUUCAAAGAAGACUUGCGUUUCUUUAUUUGUAAAUUUUUAUGCUGCGUCAAUGUGACAAGUGUUUAUCGGUCGAGGAAAUCAUACGUCCGUAUUACAAAGCUGUCAAACUAAGUCAAUUAAGAUCGUAGUCAGUGGCGGAUCUAGGUGGGGAAGAUUUCCGAGGGUUCCAAUGAUGAAACAACUUUUUUUCACGAUCAAUACAUUUGCAUGGGGCAUAUAUUUUGGUCCCUCCUAUCUCCUAAGUAAUUGAACCCCCUGAAUUCGUCCAUGGUAGACGAACCCACUUUGUCGUAGCCUCGAGGUCAUAGCAGUUCUCCGAGAUCACACAUCUUAAUGAUACCAUGGAUACGGAAAUGUUUGUAAAAGAAAGUCAUCUUGUUCUCUACCUUGACUUAAAAUAAACAACAUUUUUAUCCAUAUUCACUAAACAAUCAGUGUUGAACAAAUUAAUCAAUUAAAAUUUAAGUAAAAAAUUCUAUGUAGAUCAUUGUGCAUUUUGUUUAAGCCAUUUUCGUCAUUAUUAUCAUGUCCAAAGCCAAUUACAUUUUCAGAAUUUCAUGUGACCUCUGAUGCAAAGAACAAAUAAGCACGUGACUACAGGGAUCCAUCAUUUUUUAUUGAUAUCGAUUAUCUAAUAUGAUGAAUUGGUCAUAAUUGUUAUGAUUGUCCGGAGGCGAAAACAAAUCAUUUGAUAAUUAAGGAAGUAAGGAACGAGAUGUCAUUCAUCGUAUCAUAUGAAUAAUAAGAGAAAUUCAAUGUUAAUUCAUAAUUGUUGUCUGAUUGAUGCAGCAACCAAACAAAAACAGUAAAGACAUCUAAACAAAAGUGGUCUAUACAGGGUUAGAAACAAAUAACAACAAAUGAAAGUUUUUAACGACCUUGACUGGCUAUACAGCACUUGCACAAUCGGUAAAGAAACAAAUGUAAAUCAGUUGGAGCCUUUUAUAGCUGAGCUUUGUUCAUUAUUGAAGGCCUUACAGUGACCUAUAGUUGUUAAUUCCUGUACCAUAUUGUAUCUUGUGGAGAGUUGUCUCAUUGACAGUCUACCACAUCUUCUUUUUUUCAUAUACAUAAAAAUAAAAAAUAAAAGUCCCAAAAAUCGAAACUUUAGAAACACUUGUAAACAGAUAUAUAUAUAUAUAUAUAUAUGCAUCCUUUACUUGACAGAUGCUUAUACUUUGCUAUGCUUAGCGGGUUACCAUGGUUACCUGUGCAAUAUUUUGAUUUGACAAACAUUUAUAUCCUUUACGACUUCCGACACCACUUAAUUAUUAUGUUACGUAAUUAGAUGACAUGAAAUUACCUCUCUAAUUCAAAAUAUUACAGAAUACUAGACCUUCUUAUCUCUAUUGAAACUCUCGUGACGUCAUGUACUUUUGAAAAGAUUUGGAGCUAGAUUAUUCUAAAAUGGCAUCGGACAUUAUUUAUAUGUGGUUCAACUAUUGAUUCAUCUGGCGUAAACUAUGUAUUUGUACCAAUGCGAUUAAUAUUCUUUUUUAAAACAUUAUUUUUGAGUUCAUGUAAUUGAUUAAUUGUUGGUUGCUUAACGUCCAGUGGUAAAUAUGUUAUGCAUGGUCAGGGCGAUUGUUCAAGCAACAUUAAUGGUGAUCAGUUUAAAAAGUAAAAUCACAAAAAUGCUGAACUCAGAGGAAAAUCUAAUCGGAAAGUCCAUAAUCACAUGGCAAAAUCAAAUGACAAACCACAUAAAAAACGAAUGGACAAGAACUGUCAUUCUCCUGACUUGGUACAGGACACUUAAGUGUCAUUAAUGGUGCGAAGGUUACGGCCAACAUUUUUCUAUCAAUUACAUGAACAUCCGCCGCUUUAAUUGGUCAGAUGGGGUAUACAAAUAUGACCCCUCGUGCUGAUUGGUUACAUAGGGUAUACAAAUAUAACCCCUCGUGCUGAUUGUUCAGAUACCGACCGUACAAGGGCUGUAUAGCCAAUCAAGGUCGUUAAAAACUUUCAUUUGUUGCUGUUUAGGUGGGGAAUACAAAAAUGCAUGACACUUCGUGCUGAUACGUGUUAUUUUCCCUUUGAUAAAUGUCAACAUUUUAACUGCACGUUAACCCGAUAUUUUUUUCUUUCCUUUGUUUCCGCCAGAAAUUAUACGAUUGUUUAGAAUAAGUUUAUUAACUGAAGUUUCUAUUCAUUAUGGAACCGAUCACAUUUAUUUCAUGCACUUAACCAAAGGAGUCUCCCUGGCUUGAACAUUGAACUAACGAUUUACAGUCUUCUUUUAGUUCGUUAAAGUUACCCGAUUCAUAAACGUCUAUUUAUAUUAUAUACAUGUAUGUGGUAUAAUAGCCAAUGAGACAACUCUCCAUCCAAUGCAACUCACAAUUUGUUAAAGAAAAACCAUUAUAGAUCAAAGUACGGUCUUUAACAUUGCACAUUGGCUCACAGCAGUAAGCUAUAAAGGGACCGAAAAAUUACUAGUGUAAAACCAUAGCCUGGUUCUGUUAAGUCCAUGUUAACAUCCGGGGUGUAACCAUGACAUAUUUGCCACUGAAAAUUGAAUAAUCUACAAUGAAGCAAUUCAGUCGUUCCCUAUCCCUGAUCUAUUCACUGUAGCGUAAUCAUCUACACAGGGGCGGACCCAGGAUUUUUCAAAGGAGGGGCGAAAUAUUAAAAACUCGCCAAGCGGAGCGAGUCGAAAAAUCUCCCUAUUAAUUGUCUAUCAUAUAAUGAUAGUAUGGAUCCAAAGGCAUGUACUGAUAUAUUUGAUGUGGGACUUGUCAGUAAAAAAUAGACAUGGAAAAUUUUCAUUUUUUGUAUGUUAAGUUAGAAUAAUCUCACAGAUUUCUUGUUGUAAACAAGAUCUACGUCGGGCUAUUAAAUGAAAUUUAGAAUACGACCGACACGAUUUAAUAAAGACAAACAAGCAAUUGUUAUUCAAAUGUUUGGCUGAUAUGUUUCACCGAACAAAAAUAAGGGAAGUGAGGGGUUCCAAAUCAACCAAAGGCGUAUACGAAUGAAACAACAAAUCUAUAAAUGACGGUCGACAAAUGAAUACAUAAAAGCCACACCCAGCAUGCAGUUUGCAGAGGUUGCAGUCUUGUCUUGAAAAGGUAUAAUAAACUGUAUUAAAUAUAUCAAUACGGCGAUAUCCGGUCAGAAAUGCAAACCCCUGCCCCUCCAAAAAAACAUACGCCCGUUUUUUAAUCAUCAUGUUCAUUUUAUGCUUCAUAAUUCUGUUGGAAAUUUUCGUUUCUGAUAGCAAAAAGGGGACAACAUUAUUGUUUUCAAUCCAGAUACGGCCAGAAUUUUAAUUUAAGGCAAAAAUCAUAGUCAUAUUUUGUUCUCUCUCAAAUAUCUCAGACUGCUUCCUCAAAUCAAAUGGUUCGCAUCUUAUACUCUAGAGCUUAAACUGACUGGGGAUCAUUAUUCAGCUUCUGUAUGUUAUUUUAAAAUAGGCUGGGGCGUAUAGGGUUGAACAUGUUUUCGUAGGUGAAUAAUAUUGCUGAAGAACUUUUUUCAUGAGAGUGUAAUAGAGCUUUACUUUCUAUUUAGUGGAGUUGUGAAAUAGAAGUCAAUACGUUUUUGUUUAAUUCUGUGUCGCUAUGAAGGUGUCAUGAUUGUAAUCCUUAGCCUUAUCAAUGUGUUACUGUAAUUUGAAUUUCAAAAUGGCUGAGUGCCGUUUAAAUUUUUACGGCGAACUGGUCAACACCACCGUAGCGAAUUUUAUGACUUUGACAUAAUCAGGAAAUACCAGCAAAAACUAUCAUUAUAAGUAAAGAAUUGUGAGUUCACGAAGUCUAGUCUGAUUAAUCAUUUUGCAAAAAAAAAGUCCACUGAAGCAGAGAGGGGCGUACGCCUUUUACUUUCCCUCUGGAUCCGUCACUGCUACAUGUACAUGUAUUGACUGUAGCAUAAUUAGAUCUUUCUCUUUCUUUCAAUCGAACUGGAAGUAGUAAGAUAGCUUGUUAGGAGAUCGAAAGUUUCAUCCAGAACAAUUCAAAUCUUGGAACAGUAUAUCUAUAUAUAUGCUCCUGGUAAACCAAAAACUUUAAACAGAUCAUUUGUUUCUUCUUCACUGUCGAGUAAUAAGGAGUAGAAACUUGAAGAAAUAUGCUCAACUGCAAUUAAAAAAAAUGUCAAAUGACGAAAUACUUUAUCUCUCUUUUGACUGUUAUCUCGUGAAUUAGCAAGUUUACAGUUCGACUACAUGGGGGCGUCAAUAUCAUGAUUACAAAGCAUUGUUGAUAUGUAUAUCCUAUAAUCAUGUUCUUGUCCAGAAUGUACAUGUAUUGGUCAUAUAUACGAUGUGUUUCUAUAAUCUUAAACACAGGUAACACUAAUAGAUACUGUAGUAUCAAAAUCGAGGUACUUUGCAUGUUAAAAGCAUAGGUCAUAAUUAGCCUUAGGCCAGCCUAUAUUACAUGUUUUGACAUUCUUCGUAACUAUGUAACAUUCAUGGCCUACAUUAUGUAACACGACAUACAAUUAAUAGAGCUUUAAUAAAACUUUUAAGAAAAAAAAAGAAUAUAUAAUGUACUAAAAGUACCAGGAUAACAAUAUUAUAAAUACAGAGCUUAAAUAAAACUUUUAAGAAAAAAACAAAAUAUAAUGUACUAAUAGAACCAGAUAACAAUAUAAAUACAGGGUUUUAUUUAAUCGUUGAUAUUAUAUGUUAUUCAGGUCUCAGACAGGGUAUAUACUGUGACAUUCCCGGCUUAGAGUUUAUAUCCCCUGAGCCGAAGGCGAAGGGGAUAUAAGCCCUAAGCCGGGAAUGUCACAGUAUAUACCCUUUCUGAGACCUGAAUUACACAUAUAUUACAGAUUAAUCCUGACUUAAUGUUAUUUUCCAGUGCAGGCAUUUGUUGAUAACACAUAUAUAUUGAAAAACCCAACCUGAUAUGUUCGGCAUACGUGAAGGAUUUUCUAAUUUGCUGUGAACAUAAUUUUAUCGUGUAUGUAAUAAUUUAUAAUAACACUUUUAACAUCAAAUUAAAGUCUUAAAAGUGUUAAUUGCGUGAUUUUGUAUCAAAAAUGUAUUAUUGACUGAAGCACGUCAUCAUUUUCCCUCUGUGAACCUCUGACAGUCUGAUAGCUUAAGACUACGUCACAUAGUAACCGGUGUUAUGAUGACGUUUUUGAGGUUCCAAUUGGGGAUAAAAACGUCGUAUAUACCCCGGCAGUUUCCUGAAUAUAUACUGACAUCUCUGUGUUGUUAUCCAAUCAGAAACCUCGACACAUUUGUAAUCCGUAAUAUAUAAACUUUCAUACUGUGCGUAUUGCUAUGUGUUUCCGUAUUCUACAUUGGAUAGAAGUAUAGGGGAGGGUUGAGAUCUCACAUAGCAUGUUUAACCCGUCACAUGUUUGCGCUAGUCCCAAGUCAGGAGGAUCUGGUCUUUGUUAGUCUUUUAUGUUUUUCGAUGUAAGCUCAGUUUUAUUCAGGUGCCAGCUGUGGGCCACCUCCGGCCGCGAUUUUUUUUUCGCUGCGUUGAAGACCAACUUGUGGCCUUCGGCUGUUGUCUGAUCUAUGGUCGGGUUGUAGUCUCUUUGACAUAUUCCCCAUUUCCAUUUCCGAUUUUAUUUAUUUUUCAUACUGCCAGAAGAAACCUGUGUCAGUGGUUGUCCUUUGUUGAUGGGGGUCUGAAGUGUUUCUCGUUUCUCUUUUUUAUAUAAUACAUUAGACGUUGGUUGUCCUGUUUGAAUUAAUUCAUACCAGUCAUUUCGGGGUCCUUUAUAUAUUGCUGUUGAUGCAAGCGAAGGCUCCGUGUUAAAGGCCGCAAUUGUUUACUUUUUACACAUAGUGACUUGCAUUUGGAUGGAGAGUUGUCUCAUUGGGACUUGUACCUCAAUUUCUAUAAAUUAUACAUAAUUAUGGAGCGUUAAUUACUAAAACUUUCAAGACAGAAACAACAACACUGGUAGUGCCAGGAUAACUGUAUCACAAAAUAAUGACUUUUUGUCGACACGUCAAACAAGCAACCAUUAAUUAUUCUUUUUUUUUAAAUACACACGUGCGUUUGUCAUAAUAUUUUAUUUGUUGUUUUUUCUGUUUGUCAUAGACCGAUUCUCAUUGAAAACAAAACUAUUGUUUUUACCAGUCGGUUCUCGUUUCCAUUUUAUCACAUUCAAUUAUGCAGUGAUUGUUUUAACUCAUUACCUUUAUGAAAAGAUCCAUCAUAAGCAGCUAAUAAGUUUUUGUAAACAUAAUAUAUAUAACCUUUCGACAUUUACCUUUGCAAUAUGUUAAUUUAACAAAAACAAGUAAAUCCUUUACGACUUCCGACAUCACUAAAUUCUUGUAUAUUAUAUAAUGAGAUGACAUGAAAUUACGUCUGUGACAAAAACAAAUGUUAUAUUCGGAAACAACAAUGACAUGCAUAAUGCAUUCGUCACAACUCGGCCAAUUCCGUAUCUCAAUCUUACGAUAGAUGGAGGAAGCGGAGUCACCCGAAGUCUGCCGAUUGAUGCACACUGAUGCUAUUUUUUUUCUAUUUAUUAAAAUGACUCUCCGUUGCCGAGUUAAAACAAGACAUGUAUCAUUGUCCCGCGUAGUAAUGUAUAGCCGACUAUAUAAUAUGGGUCGUACGGUUAUAGUUCCUUACAAGAACUUUAUUUGAAUGUUGGUGAAUAGUUGCCUCAUUAGCAACCAUACAAAAUCUUCUUAUUUUUAAAUCAAAUAUCUGUUCUUGAUAUUAAUAGUACACCUGAUCGCAAUCUAAUCCAAUCCGCAGAAGGAGCCUCGGUGGCCGAGUGGUCUAAGUAGACUAGUUACUACUGUUAUCACUAUAGUCCGUCGACUCUGAGGUUGUGAGUUCGAAUCCCGCUUGAAAGUCGGUGGUUUUCUCCGGGCACUCUGGCUUCCUCCACAACUAAAAUUUGGCCGCCACGAAAUAGCACAAAAGCGGAGCUUAAAAGUGGCGUUAAAACACUAAAAAAUCAAUCCGGAUAAGUUCAGAGACAACUCUUUACAACACACCUAAUGACAGAAAAAUUAACAACUAUGGUCACCGUACGGCCUAUACCCCCCCCCCCCCCCCCCGUAUUGCACUAAAUGGCGAUUAGGUGUAUUGAAAUUGUAUAAUAAUGUAUAAUAAUUCAAAUGUCUUAGUUAUGUGCCCAUUUCAUUUAAACGUGUUUACCACAGAAUUUAAAGCACACAUUCCGACCGGACGAUGCCUGUCAUUAAUGCACCCCUUACAAAAAUAAUCGAACAAUAAUCUUUACCAUAGUGAUUUCACGAUUGUCUUGUCUUGACUAGGUGCUCAUUGUAGACACUUUUUAUACCGAUCCAUCUGUUUUUCUUAUUGAAUAUAUAAUGUACUAAGUGGGACAUUUAAUAGCAAUUUCUGUUUCUUGUAGGUUUUACCAUACCCGCCAACUGUCACUAUUUGUGGGGGAUUUCCCCCAUGGAGGCUCCCAAGUAGAAUUUUUGUAAGAGCAAUUUUGUCCACUAUUUUAAAGAAAACAAUCAAUUUAACACUGGCUAUGAGCUUGUUAAAGCACGACGAAACCAAAAAAACACAUUAGAAUAUAUUUGAAGGAUAUUUUGUAGGACUAUAAGAACCAUCUUUCACGUAAAACCCCUAUGGGCAUUUUGAAAUGUUGGCAGUUAUGUUUUACACUUUUUACACUUAUUGAAACUGAAAUCUUUGAUGAGUUGGAUUGAUACCAAUACCGAUCAACGUUUCGGUUUACGAACCCGACGGCAUCACCAGCCAAACAUUUGAAGUGUUCUGGUGUUGAUGACAGCGGUAUCAUCCUUUUCUAUACACUUACCGUUCAUUAGGCGUUAUAGCUUUUCUAAGCUAAGGUUUCUUUUAGUUAAUCUAGACUUUGGCACAGCAUUUUGUACGUUUUCAAUUUUUGAAUGCUGUUCAAUUUUGGAAUUGGUUUUGUUUUGUUUGAUUCGAGCGCCAUUGACGAGUCUUGUGAAAAGAAACUCACGUCGGACGUAUAAAUUUUACGCCCCGUGUUCUUUUGUCUUUUUAGUUCUUACUUUAUUAUUACAUAUACUAGUAUAUUAAAGCUGUAGCGUUAAGCAUCAUCAAGGUCGCUUACAAAACCUGACAUUUGUCAAAAGUUAAUAGCGUUUAAAAUAACUUGUUUUGCUAUAUAAAGAACCGUGUUGUAAAGUCAACGCCUGAUCUUCUUGUCAGUGAUACUAUUUUUAACUGUAAAAAGGUCCUACGGACUUCAAAACGAUACAUAUUUCUGGUUUUGAAAUGUUUAAUGCUUUGAAAGUUCUCGAAUAAAAUCUGUACUGUUUAAUCUUUGAUACCUUAGAACUGAACUUAUGAUACUAUGGCACUAGAGGAUCUGUACGUGUUAGGAUAAAUCUGCAAUCAGUAAAAUGUGGAAUGAGUGCAAAUGAGAUAAACUCCAUCAAAGUCACUAAGUGUAAAAAAGUAAACAAUUAUAGGUCAAAGUAUGGUCUUCAACACGGAGCCUUAGCUGAAACAGAACAACAAGAUAUGAAGGACCCAAAAUGACAAGUGUAAUACAAAUUCAAACAGGAAAAACAACGGUCUUAUCUAUAUUUAGAUACGAGAAACGAGAAACACUGAUGAAUAGCAUGACCAUACAACAACCACAGAACAACAGGUUCCCUGAAAAAAGGAAAAUAUUUUAAACGCGUCAUUAAAAGUUUCAUUUAUUAUUCCGACUGUUUGUCUAUAGGAUGAAGAUAUGUGAUUUUAAGGACGUUUACUGCUUUUUGUAUUGGUUUUUUAUUGGUCUUUGUUUGUUUUUCAGAUGGCAAUUUUAUAUGAAGGAAACAUAUAGAGAGAAGCGUUUCCCGCCAAAUGUCAAAGGCGUAUAUCUCUAAAAUAAGACACGGACCAUAUUUUUGUUCUGCUAUUUUAGUUCCUUUAUUUAUAUAGUUACAUACUAUCAAUUUAUAACAGUGUUUUAAAUACCCUGUUAUUUUGAAAAAUAGUAGCAAAUAUCCUUAAAACCAAUACAGAUGUUGGCAAUCAUCCAUUUUAGUAUACAAAUACAAAUGAAACUUAUAGAAAUCUCGCGUUUCUUCGAGGUUAGUCCGAGAUUACACUGACGUCCAACGGCUGUUUUGUCAGACAAGCUGGGGCGUCGGCUGUUUUGCCAGACAAGCUGGGGCGUCCCACAGCCCCAGCUUGUUUGGGAAAAUAGCCGUUGGACGUCAGAGUAAUCUCGGACUACUUCGAGGUUGGUCUAGAUAAUCUUAGGCAAACGUUUGUUUUAAUGAUGUCGAUGAUGUUUAAACAUUUCGUGGAAUUUUGAUUCUUUUUACUCUAGUACACAUUGUGUGUGAUUUCGUUUCAUUGUCGGUUAUCUAAUUAGAAUAUUGCUUAGGAAUCAACCAUUUAACUCCAGGGUUUUUUUUUUUUUUUGUCUGAGUCACAAUUAACACUAUAAAGUAAAGGGGAAAUCUGGAUAAAGAAAUUCCUCAAUUUGGGAAUCAGAAGAUGUUUUUUGUUUUUUGUUUUUGGUUUUAUGAAAAUACCAUUCCGGUUCUAUCCCUUACUAAACAACAUAGCUGUCAGAUUUUAAAUUCUUAAAUUUAGAGAUCAUAUAAUAUAUGUGUUUUUGAAGGAAUGUGUGGUCGUUUCCAUUGACCAAUCCAUGUCUGUUUUUAUGCAUCAAAUUUUCAAACCUUUAAACACAAAGAUAAAAACAUUCAUGCAUGACUCAUUAAAAAGACUUCAAGUUGUUUGACCUUUUUAUCUAAGGGUGCUACCAUUUGAUUUUUUAUGGGAGGUUUGGAUGGGGUAGGAUGAAAUUUGAAAAGAUGGCAUGACAGAUUUUUUUUUCAUUAGAAAAAAGGAUGAAGCACUUGGCAAUCAUAAAUGCAGGAUGACAAUUUAUUUUUAAAAAAAGUUAGAAUUAUUUUUUAAAAGAAAGCAGUACCGUAUAGAGUGAAAAUAAAAGGGCAGGACAGAGAUUACAACUAAAAAAUUGCAGGAAAAAAAUGUUCAUCAUAAUGCGCCACCCCACCCCCUACUCUAACAAUCCAAUGGUGGCUCCCUAAAAACGAAACGACACAUACUCAUUAAACAUUUAGUUUGAACCACAUAUAGAUAUAUGACAUACUUAUGACUUAUCUUUACAUUCCUAAUAAAGAUUUAAAAGAAAACUUGAACAAGUGAAAAUAACACUUAGUUUAUAAUUAUUAGGCACACCUAGAGCUUUUCUGGGUUUACCUUCAUUAGGAAAAUCCAUAGAUGACUGUUGGAAAGCAUAUGUAUGUUAAAAAUUUUAUCCUGCAUGUCUUUUUUUUUUGUUAUAAUAUCUGUACUGCCUUUUUAUUUUUUAACUCUAUUCGGUCCUGACUUUUUUUACAUUAAUUGUCAUGCUUUUUUCUUUUGGCAAAGUUGCUCAUCCUGUCCUUUUUUACUUGAAACUCCUGUCAUUCCUUGUUUUCAAAUUUCAUCAAACUCUCCCCACCCCUAUAAAAAUCAAAAAAUCAAAUGAAAGCUUCUUAAUACACUAGACGAGUGUUUCUUGUAAUUCUAAUUUGUUACCUGUUCGUGUUGUAAUUGAUGAUCUUACAAGUAAAAUUCAUCUUCAUUUAACUUUUGCCCUUUCAUAUUUUGAUCUUCUAACAUUUUACCUUCAUCACCUGUCACAUUCUCAACCUUGUACAGUAUAUAUCAGAACAUAAAUCCAAUUAAUCAUACAGAGUUUGUUUAGUAUUAUUACAUAUUAAUUUCAGAUGGCUUUGAUUGGUGAUGUUUAAUGUGAAUAUAAUUUUAUGCUGCAUGAACUGUUCGGAUUAUCAGAAGACAUUUGAUUGGUAAGACUUGUACUUCUAUGUAAAUGCUGAGGGGGGAUAGGAGGGGUCCUGAUCCCAAAAUCCCGGGCUUAAAAACACGAGAUCCCGAAAUCCCGGGCUUAAAAAACAUGAAAUCCCGAGGUCCCGAAAUUUGAAAAAAGAAUUCCCGGAUCCCAAAAGGGUCAAUCCCGAAAUCCCGAGCUUAAAAACACCCGAUCCCGGAGUCCCGAUAAAGGUCCUAUCCCCCCUCAAUGCUGGCACACUUGUAUGUAGAUUAAACAUGACUUUUUAGAAUACUUUAUACAUCACAAUAAUAACAUACCUCUUACACAAUUAACCUCAACCAUGGAAAAAACAUGGACAGAAAUGUUAUGUCAAUAAACCAGAAAACACAGAUUUAAAAUAUCGAACAAUCACACACAAAAAGUAAACUCAUAAAAAUACCGAGCUUCGAGGUAAUUCAAACCGGAAAGUCGCCAAUCAAAUGACAAAGUCGAAAGCUUAAACACAUCAAACGAAUGGAUAACAACUAUCAUAUUUCUGACUUAGUAUGGGCAUUUUCUUGUGUAGAAAAUUGAGGUAGUACGUCUAUGUAACGAAUGAAUAACAACUGUCAUAUUUCUAACUUGGAAUAGGCAUUUUCUUUCAUAGAAAAUGGUGGAAAUCUGGUUUUAUAGCUAGGUAAACCUCUCACUUGUAUGCCAGUUGAAAAGAAAUAUCCUUAUUUUGACACCGAUGUGUGAACAAAACAAAAAGUAAAAAUGUCUAAACAGUGGAACAACAGUCAACAUUGUGUUUUAGUCUUAAUCACUAUAAACAAACAAAAUAUGUGACAAAGAAACACAAAAAGGCACAUAGACAAAGCAGAUAAAACCCAACAUAGAAGUACACACAUUUUGUAAUCAAUUUACUUUUUUUGAUAUUUGAAUUUUCAUUAACUUAUUCACCUAUAUAUAUUAUUCUCUGAAGCAGAAAUUAUUUUAGUAUUAUCAUAUACUUAGACUAAAUAAUAUAUGAUUUUUACUGUAUGAUAAUAAAAAUAAAUUAACGUAAACUCCAUAUUUUUCGAAUUGGUGCUUAUCGGACUGAUACGAAAAGUUUAUCACAUGCUUCAAUUGUUAUCACAUGCCUUUCCGUAACAUUAUCGCAUGGCAUUCCGGUGAUACUCGGCAAAUUCUGGAAAAUACUCCUCAAUGCUACGUUUUCAGUGAAAAAAAUUACAAAGAAGUCAACAAAACAAUUAUUUGAAUACUGGAAAGUAUAUUGUGAAGCAUAAUACAAAGAAUUUUACAAAAAUACUGAACUUCGAGGAAAAUUCAAAACAGAAAGUCCCUAAUCAAAUGGCAAAAUCAAAUGACAAAACACAUCGAACGAAUGGACAACAACUUUCAUAUUCCUGACUCGGUACAGGCAUUUUCAAAUGAAGAAAAUGGUGGAUUGAACCUGUUUUUUAAUAGCGCUUAACUGCUCACUUGUAUGACAGUCGCAUCAAAUUCCAUUAUAUUUACAACGAUGUAUGAACAAAACAAAUAGAUAUAAAAGUAAAAAUGUGGAAAUAAUGGUAGAACAGUCAUUAUUGUGAUUUAAUCUAAAUCACUAUAAACCUAUCAAAUAUGUUACAAAGAAACACUAUAGACAAAGCACAUUAAAACCUCAUAGAAGGGCACACACAUAUUUUGUAAUCAAUUUACUUUUUUCUAUAUUUGAAUUUUCAUUAACUUAUUUACUUAUAUAAUAUAUUAUUCUCCGAAGCAGAAAUUAUUUCAAUAAUAUAAGAUAAAAGACAAAAUAUGAAAAUUAUCCAAGAUUGUCUUUUUUUACCUUUUUGUUCUUUUCAUAUGGCGAACAAAGUAACUUUAUUGUGUUUUUAAUAUAUAUAUAAAUAUAAACAAAUACAUUUGUUUAUAUAUAUAUAUCAACAUAAAAUGUCAGUUCGGUAGCAUAUAUAUCUUUAUAAAAUGACUUUGCUGUACUUAAAAAAAACUACAGACACUCUGCUUGAGGAUAUAUCUAUUAAAGUAAAUCAAACUGGCAGGGUUAUUUUAGAGGAAAAUUCAUGCUCAACUGUUUAUCUUUAUUUUGAAGGCUAUAUAUUAAUAUAUAUCAAACACUAUUCAAUCAUUAACUGUUGACUUACUUGUAUUGCAAGAUGGAAACAGCAAGAAAAGUUAAGAAUUUAAAAUCAACUUUACACUAGAGUUAAUUGUGAAAAUAUGAAAAAACAAACGUUAACGUAGAAUCCGAUCUCGAAAAUCGAUGAGAGACAGAAAAAAUUAUGGCGAAGUAGAAAAACAAACUGUGAAAAGACUAACAACAGUCGACAAAACAAUGAAUAUAAAUUUAGACGAAGCAAAACGAACCCAAUAAAAACGGCGAUGGUAUUAGGCUGAAAGGUUAAGCAUAUCCUGUCCCCAUGUAAGCAUGUCCUUUUGGAUUGAACUACUCACAUUUAUCGUAAAAUCUAAUUUUGCAUCGGGUUUCAGGAAGGUUUGUUAUUUCUUACGAAAGCCGAGAAGGAUCAUUCAAAAUUCAAAAUUCAAUAUUCAAAACUCAAACAUCCUACAUUAAUCUAUCAUGAUUCCCCGCGCUUACAGAAGCCAAAAAAGAUUGCAAUUUACACUUUAAUAUACUACUGAAAGCUAUUUUAUAAAGUUUGUUAAGAACACGAACCCAUUGAAACAAGGCAAAGGGUCCGUUAAACCUUCAUAGGGAUACAUCCAAUUCCAUUGAAACCCUUGGUAACACAGCGUCAUUGCAAGUAGCAGCCCUCUAUCAAGAAAAAAGGAAAGGAAACCCGAGCCUGGAAAGUCGCUGUACUGAAAUGGAACGUUCACAAUGGAAAAAUUGAAAUCAUCGCUUUUUCGUAAAGUUUAAAUAUGCAUGAAAUAAUUUCCACUGGAGGUUAAGCAAACAACAAAUCUCUUAUAAUAACCUAGUUUUCCAACGGAAUUAUCUAGUUAUUAAAAUAUGUAUAAACAAAAGACAGAGUUUGUGUAUCAAUUAUCAACUUCUGAUAAUUUAAUGUUGUUAUAUCAACAAAAUUCGAGUUUUGACGAUUUUUCUUUAGUUAUUUGGGAGUACGGUCUAUGAUUGACGAAAGAUGAUACUUUUGGCAUUUUACUUAUGUAAUUCCAUUUAUUAAAAGCGUAUAAGGGUCAUCCUUUUUAUUUAUUUUUUUUCAAAUUAUCGACUUUAAUCUUGGAAUUAUCAACUUUAAUCUUAAAAUUUCCAACUUUAAUCUUGGAGUUAUCAAUUUUAAUCUGGGUGGAGGAGUUAACUUCGAUUUUUUUUUGGUAGGGGUGUGCUACGUUUGUCUAAAACGAUGUACCCAUUUUUAUAUAAUAUUAACUAAUAUAUGGUACCUAUAUUUAUAUAUUAAAAUUGUGACCCGCCAUGACAUUUCCAGGCUUAUGGAGGUUGAACGUCAUUGUUAGAAAAAUUAUAAACAUGAUAAAUAUCGAGAAAAAGGAUACGCUUUCCUUGGCUUCUUUUUUUAGGAGCCGAACUAUAUAUUAUAUAUAAGUUUUGAGAAGUUUUACUUAUCGUUUGAAGUGAAAAAUAUUUGAAUGUACAUUUUUGAUUGAUACACAAAAAAAAACCAAAAUUCUCUGCUCUAAAGAUUUUAUUUCAUAAAUGGAGUCUGAACUAUAUCCAUAACAAAUGCACCGUAUCAAAUGCAUAUAAGAACACCUACUUAGAAACGUUACGCUCGCAUACUAUGUAUAAAGACAUGCAUAAUAAAUUUUAAUCAAAAGAAGGAAUUCUUAAAGCUUACUUUGACAAAUUUUAAACUAACUUCAUUUCAACAAGUUUAAAUUAGAUAAUAUCCUAAAAUAGAGCUACAAAAAACCAAAAUGCUCUGCUCUAUAGAUUUUCUUUCAUAAAUGAAGUUUAAUGUCUGUACAUGAAAAUAAUAUAUAGUUGUGAAUCUAGUAACAGUAUACAUUUGUCAAGUUGGGAAUCUAAUUGACUAUGAACAUUUGCCAAGUAGGGAACCUACUGACUGUAUACAUAUAUUUUGGUCAGAAAAGUAGUUUGACGUUCGAAAUACUCAUAAUAUCUCUAACAUUAACCGAUUUUUUUUUUUUAGAGUACAACAAAGUUUUUAACAAAAAUGCUGGUCCAUGAUCAUAAGCCUACAUUAGCUGAAA